RNAcentral lists this microRNA precursor (66 nucleotides) under Ochotona princeps (American pika). RNAcentral describes it as "miRNA (ENSOPRG00000017414.2)". Lineage: Eukaryota; Metazoa; Chordata; Mammalia; Lagomorpha; Ochotonidae. The record is from RNAcentral.
UGCUUGCGUGUGUGUGUGUGUGUGUGUGUGUGUGUGUGUGUACGCACGCGCUCAUGUAGUAAGCCA